GACUUGGAAUUGAUUUUUUUUCUAUCGUAGAAUUACAUCAUUCCUUCUGGUGACUUGUUGAUGUUGUCUCCAUUUUGGCUACAUAGAAACCCAAAGUAUUUUCCUGAACCUGAACUGUUCAAACCUGAACGUUGGAAAAAGGCAAAUUUAAAGAAGCACGCUUUCUUGGACUGCUUCAUGGCAUUUGGAAAUGGGAAGUCCCAGUGUCCUGGAAGGUGGUUUGCUCUGUUAGAGAUUCAAAUAUGUGUUAUCUUAAUGCUUUAUAAAUAUGACUGUAGUCUUCUGGACCCACUACCAAAACAGGCAAGUAUUUUCAGAAUUUUGAAUUUCAUGGUGUCUUUCAAAUUUGACAUAAACUCUAGCCCCUUGGUUUCAAUUACUAGAGAUGAGCUAACUGAUUUCCUCACUAGAGCCUGAUCUUAACGGGUGCCUUAGAUAGAACCGGAUUAAGAAGACACCUGGUCCCCUUAAUUCAGGAUCCAAUCUGUGUGCCCCAUUACCACCUGGCCAACAUCUAAUAGCAGUGUUUCCACCACUCCCAAUGUUAGGAGCUCCUCAAUGAAUUUACUAGUGUGGAUCCUUUUGCCUGGGUUAAAUAAACAUGGCCUUGACUUUAGCCUUGUUUCCUUAGAAAGGAGUGUUUGUAGGUCCCAAAGUGAACCAUCAGUUUUGGAUUCAAGUCAUGCAAGCCUUUGGUCCAUUUGGAAAGCAAGCAAUGGUGUGGAAGAAAACUAACCCCACAAUAAAACCAGUGAAUAGAAAUGAAGAGGCUUUAUUCCUACCUCUGACCAUUGAGUAUUCCAAUCAUUUAAUCCCUCUGUAGGUCUGUUCUACUAGACCCAGUGGCUCUCAAACUGACAUAAGCGUAAGGAUCAGAAAGGGACUUGUUAGAACACAGACUGCUGGGCCUCAUCCCUAGACUUCUUGAUCCAGUAGGAACUGAGGAGGGCUUUUGAAUUUGCAUUUCUAACACGUUCCAGGUGCUGCUGCUGCUUCUAUUGGUCUGGGGGCCACACUUUGAGCACCACUGUUGUGAGAAAUAAGGGGGAGUUCAGUUUAAUUCCAAAUGUUUGGAAGUCAUUUUGAAAACCGGAUAAAAAUGUUAUUAACAUUAAAACUGAGGCUGAAGCUCAGAAAUUAAGCAUUGCAAUCUCAGGGGUACUCACAUAGCAUUUUAUGCUUUGAUUUACUCUUUAUAUAAUAAAGCUAAUGAAUGGAGGCUUAAAUAAAACUCUUGGGUGACAUUUCAAUAGAAAUUAUGUAAGUAUGUUAGUGAUAGAAAGUAUUAUGUUACUCACAAAUACGCACAUUUCAGCACUUUCCCUUGAUUUCUUUUGCACUUCUAUUUUGAGUACGAGUAAUUAUCACUGAUGAAGAGCUCUCAGAAUCUCACAAUGAAAGGGAACACAAAGCACCCUUCACAAAGGUUUUCAGCUUAUUGUUGGCAAAGUAAACAUUAGGGCCAGACUUUAUAGAACCAAAUAUGAGUUCAUGGU
This is a non-coding RNA of Microcebus murinus (gray mouse lemur), 1496 nucleotides long. The record is from RefSeq and is a predicted model, not a curated record. NCBI's taxonomy places the organism in Eukaryota, Metazoa, Chordata, Mammalia, Primates, Cheirogaleidae.